Molecule: ribosomal RNA, 405 nt
Filed under: uncultured bacterium
Lineage: Bacteria
Description: bacterial SSU rRNA
Rfam family: Bacterial small subunit ribosomal RNA
Source: RNAcentral
ACAUGCAAGUCGAACGAAGCAUUUAGGAUUGAAGUUUUCGGAUGGAUUUCCUAUAUGACUGAGUGGCGGACGGGUGAGUAACGCGUGGGGAACCUGCCCUAUACAGGGGGAUAACAGCUGGAAACGGCUGCUAAUACCGCAUAAGCGCACAGAAUCGCAUGAUUCAGUGUGAAAAGCCCUGGCAGUAUAGGAUGGUCCCGCGUCUGAUUAGCUGGUUGGUGAGGUAACGGCUCACCAAGGCGACGAUCAGUAGCCGGCUUGAGAGAGUGAACGGCCACAUUGGGACUGAGACACGGCCCAAACUCCUACGGGAGGCAGCAGUGGGGAAUAUUGCACAAUGGGGGAAACCCUGAUGCAGCGACGCCGCGUGAGUGAAGAAGUAUUUCGGUAUGUAAAGCUCUAUCA